This 394-nucleotide ribosomal RNA is filed under the name uncultured bacterium. RNAcentral's name for it is "partial 16S ribosomal RNA". It matches the Rfam family "Bacterial small subunit ribosomal RNA", at positions 338 to 729 of the family's 1533-position model. The record is from RNAcentral.
UCUACGGGGGGCAGCAGUGAGGAAUAUUGGUCAAUGGGCGCGAGCCUGAACCAGCCAAGUAGCGUGAAGGAGGAAGGCCCUACGGGUUGUAAACUUCUUUUAUAAAGGAAUAAAGUGAGGCACGUGUGCCUUUUUGUGUGUACUUGAUGAAUAAGGAUCGGCUAACUCCGUGCCAGCAGCCGCGGUAAUACGGAGGAUGCGAGCGUUAUCCGGAUUUAUUGGGUUUAAAGGGAGCGGAGAUGGGUUGUUAAGUCAGUGGUGAAAGUUUGCGGCUCAACCGGAAAAUUGCAAUGGAUACUGGCAGUCUUGAGUACAGGUGAGGUAUGCGGAAUUCGUGGUGUAGCGGUGAAAUGCUUAGAUAUCACGAAGAACUCCGAUUGCGAAGGCAGCUUAC